AUUGAACGCUGGCGGCAUGCCUUACACAUGCAAGUCGAACGGUAACAGGUCUUCGGAUGCUGACGAGUGGCGAACGGGUGAGUAAUACAUCGGAACGUGCCUAGUAGUGGGGGAUAACUACUCGAAAGAGUGGCUAAUACCGCAUGAGAUCUACGGAUGAAAGCAGGGGAUCGCAAGACCUUGUGCUACUAGAGCGGCCGAGGGCAGAUUCAGUAGUUGGUGGGAUAAAAGCUUACCAAGCCGACGAUCUGUAGCUGGUCUGAGAGGACGAUCAGCCACACUGGGACUGAGACACGGCCCAGACUCCUACGGGAGGCAGCAGUGGGGAAUUUUGGACAAUGGGCGCAAGCCUGAUCCAGCAAUGCCGCGUGCAGGAUGAAGGCCUUCGGGUUGUAAACUGCUUUUGUACGGAACGAAAAGCCCCGGGUUAAUACCCUGGGGUCAUGACGGUACCGUAAGAAUAAGCACCGGCUAACUACGUGCCAGCCGCCGCAGUAA
This 498-nucleotide ribosomal RNA is filed under the name uncultured bacterium. RNAcentral describes it as "partial 16S ribosomal RNA". It matches the Rfam family "Bacterial small subunit ribosomal RNA", at positions 30 to 523 of the family's 1533-position model. The record is from RNAcentral.